This is a non-coding RNA of Caenorhabditis elegans, 77 nucleotides long. Lineage: Eukaryota; Metazoa; Nematoda; Chromadorea; Rhabditida; Rhabditidae. The record is from Ensembl.
CUAAGCCUAAGCCUAAGCCCAAGCCUAAGCCUAAGCCCAAGCCUAAGCCUAAGCCCAAGCCUAAGCCUAAGCCUAAA